GUAGGAAACCUUAAAUGUGAAGGUCGUUGAAUGCCAUUUGAUAGUUUGUCUGAUGAGCGCAGAUGUCGCUUACGUCGAAAUGUAUUAUUUUUACAGAGUCCUGUACAACUUAGCUGCCACAGUGUACUGUAUAGCUGUCAACUAAAAAUGGAAAUAGUGUAAGUGUGACAAUAAAUUUCGUUUAUUUGCACGAUGACGAGCACAUUAGCCAAAAAUACUUGUUCUGUAAAAGGCUGCGGAAAGCGAGAGCUACCGAUGUACCGUUUCCCCAAUCCAAAAACAAACGGGGAACGUUUUCGUAAGUGGGUUCUGGCAGCAAAUAAUCCUCGAUUCGAGCAACUAGGAGAUAAUGGUAUUUAUAAAAAGUGUUUCGUUUGCCACAACCAUUUUAAGGAAGAGGAUAAAAUCCUGAAUUCGCGUUUAUUAAGGAAAACUGCUGUGCCUUCGCAAAAUUUGCCGAUUGGUCCAUCGUUUGCCACAGAACAGGGAAUUGAUGCACCAUCACCUCCAAGACCAUCCCAAUCUGAGGAGGACCUAAUUUUUAGAACACCACAACGUGAACUCAUUUUUAUGCCCAGCUCGGUACGAAAACGUGUUACACCAUCA
Molecule: long non-coding RNA, 606 nt
Organism: Zophobas morio
Lineage: Eukaryota; Metazoa; Arthropoda; Insecta; Coleoptera; Tenebrionidae
Exons: 3
Source: RefSeq, a predicted model, not a curated record